UACCGGCAGCUCGAGUGAUGUCCACUGUUAUUGGGCCUAAAGCGUCCGUAGCUGGCCGACCAAGUCCGCCGGGAAAUCCACCUGCCCAACAGGUGGGCGUCCGGCGGAAACUGGCCGGCUUGGAACCGGAAGGCUCAGAGGGUACGUCCGGGGUAGGAGUGAAAUCCCGUAAUCCCGGACGGACCACCGAUAGCGAAAGCACUCUGAGAGAACGGAUUCGACAGUGAGGGACGAAAGCUAGGGUCUCGAACCGGAUUAGAUACCCGGGUAGUCCUAGCUGUAAACGAUGCUCGUUAGAUGUGGCACCCACUACGAGUGGGUGCUGUGUCGCAGGGAAGCCGCUAAACGAGCCGCCUGGGAAGUACGCCCGCAAGGAUGAAACUUAAAGGAAUUGGCGGGGGAGCACUACAACCGGAGGAGCCUGCGGUUUAAUUGGACUCAACGCCGGACAUCUCACCAGCCCCGACAUCAGUCAUGACGGUCAUGUUGACGACAUCCGCCCGAGCUGAUGAGAGGAGGUGCAUGGCCGCCGUCAGCUCGUACCCGUGAGCGUCCUGUUAAAGUCAGGCACGAGCGAGACCCGCGUUCCUAAUUGCAGCACCAUCUCCCGAUGGGUGGGUACAUUAGGAAGACUGCCAGUGCGAAACUGGAGGAAGGAACGGGCAACGGUAGG
Molecule: ribosomal RNA, 673 nt
Filed under: uncultured prokaryote
Description: bacterial SSU rRNA
Rfam family: Archaeal small subunit ribosomal RNA
Source: RNAcentral